GCUUUUCAUUUUACAUUAAUUUGCCAUCAGUUCUGGAUAAUCAGCUGUGCCAUUCUCCCCUCUUGCACAUGUGGUGUGCAGGCCACAGGAAACUGGAAGGCUCUGCCAGCACUAGUAGCUGGCUGCAGAGCCUGAGGCAGGGGAAAGUAAUGGAAAUGACAAGGGAAAGUGAGGAAUAACUUAUUACUAUUCUUGACUGCUUGGAAAAAUUAGUUACCUGUAAAAGUGCCCUGAAAACUUUCUGCUUGGUGCUGGAAUGAAGCAGGCUUACUGGAGUGAAGAGAUGGGAUUUUCUAGUGACUAAAGGAUAAAAGAAUGAGAUGGGUGUGAAGGCCAGACCCACUGGAUAUUUACAGAGAACUGUGAAAGAACACUGACUUCUGGCAAAUUCUCUGUACCUUCACUUCACUGCAGUGCAGGAGAGAAUAGGCUUAACAGGAAUAGAAGAAAAGGACUGCAAAGGAAGGAACAAGCCAGAAAACAGCUUCUUGGAUUUCAUUCUCGGAGAGAGCAAGUUCAAGAGUAUAGAACUGCCAAGGCCAGCAGGAGAAUUCGCAGCUGUUGAUGAGAGCAGGAAGGGAUCUUUUAUCUCCAGGAGGUAUUCUAGGAAUGGCCUACAAUAAGUGAGUAGGAACUGACAAUUUAUUUUUUUUUUUCCUUCCAUAGAAUGAUGUUCAGUUGUCUAUGGUCUGACGUUUCAAAAAAAAAAAAAAAAAAAAAAAAAAGAAGCUCCAACUGAUAAGGAGAAAGUAGAGUUGGAGAGUUAGAUUCCACUUCUCAAUGCUUUGUUGCUCCUUUUUUCUUUUUUUUUUUUUUUUUUUUUCAGUGAAGAGCCUUGCCACAGGAAAUAAAAUGCUGUACCAAAGAGCUUUAGUAAACUAC
Molecule: long non-coding RNA, 882 nt
Filed under: Coturnix japonica (Japanese quail)
Lineage: Eukaryota; Metazoa; Chordata; Aves; Galliformes; Phasianidae
Description: lncRNA (ENSCJPG00005012057.1)
Source: RNAcentral